AUGGACACUCUGACAGAGCUUUGGAGGCUGUCCAGAUUUCUGUUGAUACCAGAACAUACAAUCAACACUACUACAUGUUCCAACAGCUUGGCUGGUCUUACAGUUGUAUCACUGUGGGUGACUUUUGGUGGAGGAACCAAACUCAUCAUUAACUCUGGCACCAUGGUCAGGCCCUCAGUCUCUCUGCUUCCCCCCUCCUCUGAGCAGCUCUCUGGGGGCUCGGCCACGCUGGCCUGCCUGCUGACCGGCUACUCUCCUCAGGGAGCCGUGGUGAGCUGGCAGGUGGACGGUACGGAGGUGACGGAGGGGGUCCUGAGCAGCUCAGAGGAGGAGAAGAGCGGCCGCUACAGCAGCAGCAGCACCCUGAGCCUGAGCCAGGAGCGCUGGAUGGAAGGAGAGCUGUACUCCUGCAGGGUCCUCCAUCAGGGCCACAGCCAGACCCAGUCCCUCCACAGGAGCCAGUGUAAGGGCUAGAGGGGCCGGCUGAAGCCCAGGACAGGAGCUCUGUGUGGGGGGGAGCAGCUCUGAUCAAUAGCAGUUUGAAUGCUUGUAGAGGAAACUGAAGCUUUGUGUGACAGAGAACAACACUGCUGUAAAGUGUUGGACAACAACAACUUAGAGAGGAAUGUGUGUCGCUCAGCAG
Non-coding RNA from Sebastes umbrosus (honeycomb rockfish), 643 nucleotides. The record is from the annotation of a RefSeq genome assembly. Lineage: Eukaryota; Metazoa; Chordata; Actinopteri; Perciformes; Sebastidae.